GACGAACGCUGGCGGCGUGCUUAACACAUGCAAGUCGAACGGAAAGGCCCUGCUUUUGUGGGGUGCUCGAGUGGCGAACGGGUGAGUAACACGUGAGUAACCUGCCCUUGACUUUGGGAUAACUUCAGGAAACUGGGGCUAAUACCGGAUAGGAGCUCCUGCUGCAUGGUGGGGGUUGGAAAGUUUCGGCGGUUGGGGAUGGACUCGCGGCUUAUCAGCUUGUUGGUGGGGUAGUGGCUUACCAAGGCUUUGACGGGUAGCCGGCCUGAGAGGGUGACCGGCCAAAUUGGGAAUGAGAUACGGCCCAGACUCCUACGGGAGGAAGAAGUGGGGAAUAUUGCACAAUGGGCGGAAGCCGGAUGCAGCAACGCCGCGUGCGGGAGGACGGCCUUCGGGUUGUAAACCGCUUUCGCCUGUGACGAAGCGUGAGUGACGGUAAUGGGUAAAGAAGCACCGGUAACUACGUG
This 467-nucleotide ribosomal RNA is filed under the name uncultured bacterium. RNAcentral describes it as "partial 16S ribosomal RNA". It matches the Rfam family "Bacterial small subunit ribosomal RNA", at positions 28 to 507 of the family's 1533-position model. The record is from RNAcentral.